AUUGAACGCUGGCGGCAUGCCUAACACAUGCAAGUCGAACGAGUGGCGGACGGGUGAGUAAUGUCUGGGAAACUUCCCGAUGGAGGGGGAUAACUACUUGAAACGGUAGCUAAUACCGCCUACCAUCCAAUGUGCCCAGAUGGGAUUAGCUAGUAGGUGGGGUAAUGGCUCACAUAGGCGACGAUCCCUAGCUGGUCUGAUAGUAUGACCAGCCAAACGGGAACUGGGAACGGGUCAAGACUCUUACGGGAGGAAGAAGUGGGGAAUAUUGCAAAAUGGGGGCAGGCCUGAGGAAGACAUGCCGGGGGUAGGAAGAAGGCCUCCGGGUUGUAAAGUACUUUAAGCGAGGAGGCGUUACUCGCAGAAGAAGCCACGGCUAACUCCGUGCCAGCAGCCGCGGUAAUUC
This 406-nucleotide ribosomal RNA is filed under the name uncultured bacterium. RNAcentral's name for it is "partial 16S ribosomal RNA". It matches the Rfam family "Bacterial small subunit ribosomal RNA", at positions 30 to 526 of the family's 1533-position model. The record is from RNAcentral.